This 1137-nucleotide long non-coding RNA is filed under the name Equus asinus (donkey). RNAcentral's name for it is "lncRNA (ENSEASG00005026938.1)". The record is from RNAcentral. Lineage: Eukaryota; Metazoa; Chordata; Mammalia; Perissodactyla; Equidae.
CAGGAUCCAAUCUGGAAUAUCACAUUGCAUGUAAAACAAGUAUUUUUUUGGCCAAGAUAUUCUAGAGGAUGCAAAAAUAAAUUAGCCCUGACCUAACAUCUGCCGCCAAUCCUCCUCUUUUUGCUGAGGAAGACUGGCCCUGAGCUAACAUCCAUGCCCAUCUUCCUCUACUUUAUAUGUGGGACGCCUACCACACCAUGGCUUGCCAAGUGGUGCCACAUCCUCACCAGGGAUCCGAACCAGCGAACCCACGAACCCCAGGCUGCUGAAGUGGGACAUGCGCACUUAACUGCUGGGCCACUGGGCUGGCCCUGUAAUUUCUUGAUUAUUAAAAAUGAUCCACUUGUGGUGACAAAAAUGCUAGGUAUAUCUCAGCCCACCCCAACUUCUCUCUCUUGAGAUUCUCCUCACUUCUCUCUGGGUCAUUUGCCCCAAUUCACUAAUUCCUGUCAUUUCUUAAGCACAAUAGUCUAACUACCUCUGUGAAAAAAAAAAAAGGCAUCUGUAAGUGUUAUAGGGAGUUAAGAGGAAAGGAGUGUGCCUGUAUGGAGGUCAGAAUUUUCAAAGUGCACCUGUAGGACAGCACUAGAGAUAUCCAAGAGGAAAAUGAGUUGGAGCGAACAAGAGUAGAGGCUAUGAGAGCCAGCUGCCCUUUUCCUGUUGGGAGUCUCCAACCUUUGACAAACCUCAGCUAGAUUCUGUCAAGGGAGACAGAACCUUCCUUAUGAUCUGUUUAUCCAACUGCCCCUGGAAGGCUGGAAGUGUGCCUUACACUUUCUUGUGUCCUCAGCUCCUCCUAGGGCAUAAUAUUAGUCUGAAAUUGUGGAUUUUGUAGGUCAAAAAAUGUUGAACAGUUGCAAUUUCAUGUGGCUCAAGUGUUUCUUGUUGUUGAUCCUGAUGAUUAUGAUGAAGAAUGUCUCUCAAUUCUGUGAUAUCAAGGUGUUCUUUCACAGGUAGCUCCAGGAGGCUACUGGUCCCAUUCACAGAUUCACAAUGAGCCUCAACCUAGUAGGCCUCAACUUACAGUAAUAGGAAUGAUCUCUACAGAGAUAUACUAUUACAAUGGAAGGGAGAAAUUAAUCAUGUAACUUUCAAUUUGUGUCCUAUUACCAGACUACACAACUUGUAAAAUGCCAU